CAGGGCACAUACAUGAGAGGAC
This 22-nucleotide microRNA is filed under the name Canis lupus familiaris (dog). RNAcentral's name for it is "Cfa-Novel-21_3p* (star (passenger))". Lineage: Eukaryota; Metazoa; Chordata; Mammalia; Carnivora; Canidae. The record is from RNAcentral.